This 1305-nucleotide long non-coding RNA is filed under the name Amborella trichopoda. RNAcentral describes it as "long non-coding RNA (ATRI_LNC004925)". Lineage: Eukaryota; Viridiplantae; Streptophyta; Magnoliopsida; Amborellales; Amborellaceae. The record is from RNAcentral.
CUGCCACGAUAGGCUGGCCAUCAUGUCAAGACUGGUCGGUGAUCGUUCUGUCGUCGAAUUGUAUUGUCGUCGUGCCAGUCUGAGUUACCGUGCCCGUCUUAUUACCGCAUCGGGUCAAUCACUUAUUGGUCUAGCUACUGUGUUGGUCUAGCUACUGUGUUACUCUAGCCACUUGGUCAAAAUCAUCUCUUCCCCAUUCCUCUAUCCUAUCUCUUUCUUCUCCUUCCAUCUAUCCUCUUACCCUUUUCUUCUUCUUUUGAAUGUGCAUUCGCCCAAAGACAUGGUGGGGUCCCUUAGCCCACUUGUCUUGUAAAUUAACUGUGUGUGUGAUUGGAAAAACAGGAGAGUAUAGGCCCAGGGAGGCGAUUUCGAACUAGUUGUAGGACUGUGGGGCUUUUCUUCAUGAUCUAAGAGGGCGCUCACGAGAGUCAGCCCGAGUGAGUCACGGACUCAGGUGAGGUGUAUCCCGCCUCACAUUAAAAUUCCUCUCUUAUAGGUUGGUAUACAUGCCCUUGUUUCCUAACAAGGUUCCCGAGAGAGCGGUCUCAAGUCCCGAGUUCCCUUGAAACCCGAGACAUGGGCUACCAGGUCAUCCCGACCCAGAGGGCAAGAUCGAGGCACCUAACCACUUUGUGGUCUUCGAAGUGCCACCCGAAGGCCAAAUGAUUUUCUUUGCUAGCUACUCAUCAUCGACUUCCCACCUUCUCUCUUUUACAAUAAAAAAAGGAUAUGUACAGAUUCUGUGUGCUCCUUUUGCCACUCUAAUUAUGAUAAUAUUUAUCAUUUGCUUUUUCAUUGUGUUUUCUCACAGGGUAUUUGGAGAUAUGUUGCAUGGAGGUGUGGUAAAAGGCUUAUUUUAGACACAUCUAUUUCAAACAUGCUUAGGACCUGGAUUGCCUUCAGAUUCAAGUCAAGAGGGUCUUUUGAAUGUCUGGCUUUCACUUUUCUUUUCUACAGUCUGGAUACUAUGGGAGGAAUGAAAUCAUUGAGUUUUUCAAGGGAAGGUAUUCAGACGAGAGCGCUUGCUCAGGAGAAUUACCUCUCAUGUUAAUCAUUGGCAGACGCUAAAGCCUGAUCCUUUCACUUAUCAGAGAGAGAAAUUGUUGAUAACCUCCAUUUCAAACUGAAUGAUGAUGGUGCUUCACUUCAAACCCUGGGCUUGCAGGUAAUGGAGGCGUAACUAGAAGUGAUGACUUAUCUUUCAUCGCAACAUUUAGCAAUCCCAUUGGUAUAACAUCAAAUAACUAUGCAGAGUUUCUAGGUUUGCAAAUUGGCAUUGACCUGGCCACUUGGCUUAAUUGUUUC